This 1058-nucleotide long non-coding RNA is filed under the name Salvia miltiorrhiza (redroot sage). RNAcentral's name for it is "long non-coding RNA (SMIL_LNC003492)". The record is from RNAcentral. Lineage: Eukaryota; Viridiplantae; Streptophyta; Magnoliopsida; Lamiales; Lamiaceae.
AUUAAUGACCUGUAUUCCUUUUUGAGCCGUCCCAAGUAACAUGGCAUGUUUCCCUUUUGGGCCAUAAUUAAGGCUUAAUUAAAAUUCUUAAUCAAUUCAUUUUUACACUCUCUCUUCCCUACCCAUUCAUUUUACUCUCUCUCUUCCCCACCCACCGUCUAUCUCUCUCUUUUCCACACCCAUCGGCUCUCUCUUUCUCCUCAUCUCUCCCACCUUUCCCUCUCGCGGCCAUCCGCCGGCGCCAUUCGCCGUCGCUUCCACCUUCCUCCGCCGUCGCAUCUAAAGAUUUCUCCAGAUCCGUUCACCGCCCGUCCAUAUCCAUGCGCCGCCUCCACCACCUUCAACCCUUCACGCUGCCUUUGCCUCUGCCUCUGCCUCUGCCUCCCCCCACCCCACCGCUCCUUCCAGCACCGUGUCCAGUUUCUCAAUCCCGCACAAAUCCGUCCGCUAUUAAUCCCAUUCGAGUCAACCCCUAGCAGCGGCGCGAUGCUAGAUCUGUCCGCCUUUCACCGUAUUCAAGGGAAAGAAGAAAUGUUGUUGAUAUAUUUGUAGCAGAAAUGUUAAAGUUUAGUUGAGAAGUCAAUUUAUAGAAUUGAUUAUCCAAAGUUGCAGGUUUUCUCUAGUUAGGCGCAAACUGCAAUGGGAUACCUUUGUUGAUUGGUAGGAAUUUCUUGUGUUUUUUUGGCUUUUUUUGUAGAAUGAGGAGGUUAAAAGUUAUGUUCAGACCUCUGUUUUUUUUGUUUUUUUCUUACUUUGGAGAUUUUGAGAUUGGAUUUUUGAAAUUUUGUGGAUUUGAGGACUUUGAAAUUUGGUUUUCGAAAUUUGGUUUUUUGGGAAAGUUGCCGGCGCCGGAUUUGGUGAAGUCGCCGGCGUCGGAGACGGUGGAUUUUCGGCGAUGUUGAACUGUCCGUUAAAUUUAGCGCGAGGAGAUGAAGAUAGUUACUUAAUUAACAAAACACUAAACAUCUAAUUCCCUUAAUUCUACUCUUCUUAAUCUCCGUGCCGAAAAGUAGCGUGCCAUAAAUAAUGGGACGGAGGGAGUAUAUUUUUAUUUUUUU